This 438-nucleotide ribosomal RNA is filed under the name uncultured bacterium. RNAcentral's name for it is "bacterial SSU rRNA". It matches the Rfam family "Bacterial small subunit ribosomal RNA", at positions 340 to 772 of the family's 1533-position model. The record is from RNAcentral.
UACGGAGCAGCAGUGGGGAAUAUUGCACAAUGGGCGCAAGCCUGAUGCAGCCAUGCCGCGUGUAUGAAGAAGGCCUUCGGGUUGUAAAGUACUUUUCAGUCGUGAGGAAGGUGUUAAGGUUAAUAACCUUAGCAAUUGACGUUAGCGACAGAAGAAGCACCGGCUAACUCCGUGCCAGCAGCCGCGGUAAUACGGAGGGUGCGAGCGUUAAUCGGAAUUACUGGGCGUAAAGGGCACGCAGGCGGUUAAUUAAGUUGGAUGUGAAAUCCCCGGGCUUAACCUGGGAAUGGCAUUCAAGACUGGUUAGCUAGAGUCUUGUAGAGGGGGUAGAAUUCCAUGUGUAGCGGUGAAAUGCGUAGAGAUGUGGAGGAAUACCGGUGGCGAAGGCGGCCCCUGGGACAAAGGCUGACGCUCAUGUGCGAAAGCGUGGGGAGCAAA